AACACUGUUAACCUGCGGUACCUGCGGAGGGAUCAUUAAAAAGAUCGAACCAAAAAUAUGGACGAUCAAAAUCCAUAUCCACCUUGUGUGCACUUAUUGACCGUUCGCUUUGGCAGGAGUUGUCUUUGGAUCCCGGCCCUGACCUUUUUUUUCGAUUGAGAAGAGAGGGGGAGGGGAGGGAUCGAAGCGCGAGGGGGGUGGGAGGACCCCUCCCACACACCUCGGCCUGCCAGAGUUUUU
This 240-nucleotide unclassified non-coding RNA is filed under the name soil metagenome. RNAcentral's name for it is "partial contains 5.8S ribosomal RNA, internal transcribed spacer 2, and large subunit ribosomal RNA". The record is from RNAcentral.